GACAGAGGGUGCAAACGUUGUUCGGAAUUACUGGGCGUAAAGCGCGUGUAGGCGGCCAUCUAAGUCGGGCGUGAAAUCCCACGGCUCAACCGUGGAAGUGCACUCGAAACUGGAUGGCUAGAGUCCUGGAGAGGAAGGUGGAAUGCUUGGUGUAGAGGUGAAAUUCGUAGAUAUCAAGCAGAACACCUGCGGCGAAGGCGGCCUUCUGGACGAUGACUGACGCUGAGACACGAAAGCGUGGGGAGCAAACAGG
RNAcentral lists this ribosomal RNA (253 nucleotides) under uncultured bacterium. Its description in RNAcentral is "partial 16S ribosomal RNA". It matches the Rfam family "Bacterial small subunit ribosomal RNA", at positions 524 to 776 of the family's 1533-position model. The record is from RNAcentral.